AAGGCCAUCGGGUUGUAAAGCACUUUUGUCCGGAAAGAAACUUCUGCCUAAUACGGUGGGAGGAUGACGGUACCGGAAGAAUAAGCACCGGCUAACUACGUGC
RNAcentral lists this ribosomal RNA (103 nucleotides) under uncultured bacterium. RNAcentral describes it as "partial 16S ribosomal RNA". The record is from RNAcentral.